UAGUCAAUGCUCGAAAGAGUGAACUAGCUAACUGGAAUCAUAAGUGUGUCACUUGUGAUAAGGUAAAGGAAAAAUAAUGAUGUCACUUUACUAUUAGUGUUGUCCAAAGCUGGUGCCAGAAGACUCGGUAAUGCCAGAGACGCAAGCGUUAGUCAUCCUGAUCAGGCGUAAAGGGUUUGUAGGCAGCUUUAAAUUAAUUAAAGAUAGAAUCAUAUAGAGGUCACAGUCAGAUAAUUCUUAGAGUAGGGUUGAUAUCUGUAGAUACUAAGAGGAAUACUAAUUAGCGAAGGCACUUUUCCAAAUUAUGAUUGACGCUGAGAAACGAAGGGGAGAAAAGAAAAUAGGAUUAGAUACCCUGGUAUUCCUCUCUGUAAACGAUGAAUGGUAGUUGCUAGUAUUCUAUAUUAGUGGCGAUACUAACGUGUUAACCAUUCCGCCUUGUGAGUACGAUUGCAAAAUUGAAAACAAAAAAAUUAGUCGGUUUCGGAGCAAACGAAGUGAAGCAUGUUAUU
This 512-nucleotide ribosomal RNA is filed under the name Clathrus columnatus. Its description in RNAcentral is "SSU rRNA". It matches the Rfam family "Bacterial small subunit ribosomal RNA", at positions 365 to 946 of the family's 1533-position model. The record is from RNAcentral. Lineage: Eukaryota; Fungi; Basidiomycota; Agaricomycetes; Phallales; Clathraceae.